This 253-nucleotide ribosomal RNA is filed under the name uncultured bacterium. Its description in RNAcentral is "partial 16S ribosomal RNA". It matches the Rfam family "Bacterial small subunit ribosomal RNA", at positions 524 to 776 of the family's 1533-position model. The record is from RNAcentral.
AACGUAGGAGACAAACGUUAUCCGGAGUUACUGGGCGUAAAGGGCGUGUAGGUGGUUUAGUAAGUCUGGCGUGAAAUUUUUCGGCUUAACCGGGAAAGGUCGUCGGAUACUGCAAGACUAGAGGACGGUAGAGGCGUGUGGAAUUCUGGGUGUAGUGGUGAAAUGCGUAGAGAUCCGGAGGAACACCAGUGGCGAAGGCGACACGCUGGGCCGUACCUGACACUGAUGCGCGACAGCAUGGGGAGCAAACAGG